UACAGAGGGGGCAAGCGUUGUUCGGAAUUACUGGGCGUAAAGGGCGCGUAGGCGGCCUGCUAAGUCGAACGUGAAAUCCCUGGGCUCAACCCAGGAACUGCGUCCGAUACUGGUUGGCUUGAAUCCGGGAGAGGGAUGUGGAAUUUCCGGUGUAGCGGUGAAAUGCGUAGAUAUCGGAAGGAACAUCAGUGGCGAAAGCGACUUCCUGGACCAGUACCGACGUUCAGGCACGAAAGCGUGGGGAGCAAACAGG
This 253-nucleotide ribosomal RNA is filed under the name uncultured bacterium. RNAcentral describes it as "partial 16S ribosomal RNA". It matches the Rfam family "Bacterial small subunit ribosomal RNA", at positions 524 to 776 of the family's 1533-position model. The record is from RNAcentral.